RNAcentral lists this unclassified non-coding RNA (338 nucleotides) under soil metagenome. RNAcentral's name for it is "partial contains 5.8S ribosomal RNA, internal transcribed spacer 2, and large subunit ribosomal RNA". The stretch from base 1 to 120 matches the Rfam family "5.8S ribosomal RNA", at positions 35 to 154 of the family's 154-position model. The record is from RNAcentral.
GAUGAAGAACGCAGCGAAAUGCGAUAAGUAAUGUGAAUUGCAGAAUUCCGUGAAUCAUCGAAUCUUUGAACGCACAUUGCGCCCCCUGGUAUUCCGGGGGGCAUGCCUGUCCGAGCGUCAUUGCAACCCUCAAGCGCGGCUUGUGUGUUGGGCUUCGUCCCCCCGUGGACGUGCCCGAAAGGCAGUGGCGGCGUCCCGAAUGGUGCCCGAGCGUAUGGGAACUCUCUUCCGCUCGAAACGGCCCAUUCGGCGCUGGUCGAACCCCAAUUUUUUUUACCGGUUGACCUCGGAUCAGGUAGGGAUACCCGCUGAACUUAAGCAUAUCAAUAAGCGGAGGA